GGACAGGGAGACAGGUGGUGCAUGGUUGUCGUCAGCUCGUGUCGUGAGAUGUUGGGUUAAGUCCCGCAACGAGCGCAACCCUACGUUUAGUUGCUAACGCGUGAAGGCGAGCACUCUAGACGAACUGCCGUUGACAAAACGGAGGAAGGUGGGGAUGACGUCAAAUCAUCAUGCCCCUUAUGUUCUGGGCUACACACGUGCUACAAUGGCCGGUACAGACGGACGCAAAGCCGCGAGGUGGAGCAAAUCCUAAAAAGCCGGUCUCAGUUCGGAUUGCAGGCUGCAAUUCGCCUGCAUGAAGUCGGAAUCGCUAGUAAUCGCAGGUCAGCAUACUGCGGUGAAUACGUUCCCGGGCCUU
RNAcentral lists this ribosomal RNA (358 nucleotides) under uncultured Pelotomaculum sp. RNAcentral's name for it is "bacterial SSU rRNA". It matches the Rfam family "Bacterial small subunit ribosomal RNA", at positions 1024 to 1382 of the family's 1533-position model. The record is from RNAcentral. Lineage: Bacteria; Bacillati; Bacillota; Clostridia; Eubacteriales; Desulfotomaculaceae.